Molecule: transfer RNA, 74 nt
Filed under: Actinomycetota bacterium
Lineage: Bacteria; Bacillati; Actinomycetota
Description: tRNA-Arg
Rfam family: tRNA
About the family: Transfer RNA (tRNA) molecules are approximately 80 nucleotides in length. Their secondary structure includes four short double-helical elements and three loops (D, anti-codon, and T loops). Further hydrogen bonds mediate the characteristic L-shaped molecular structure. tRNAs have two regions of fundamental functional importance: the anti-codon, which is responsible for specific mRNA codon recognition, and the 3' end, to which the tRNAs corresponding amino acid is attached (by aminoacyl-tRNA synthetases). tRNAs cope with the degeneracy of the genetic code in two manners: having more than one tRNA (with a specific anti-codon) for a particular amino acid; and 'wobble' base-pairing, i.e. permitting non-standard base-pairing at the 3rd anti-codon position.
Source: RNAcentral
GCGCUCGUAGCUCAACUGGAUAGAGCAGGCGGCUUCUACCCGCCAGGUUGGGGGUUCGAGUCCUCCCGGGCGCA